Molecule: long non-coding RNA, 1421 nt
Filed under: Callithrix jacchus (white-tufted-ear marmoset)
Lineage: Eukaryota; Metazoa; Chordata; Mammalia; Primates; Cebidae
Description: lncRNA (ENSCJAG00000059296.2)
Source: RNAcentral
GGUGAGGUUACGGCUUAUUUUUAUUUACUUCUUUGUAAUUUACCAUUUGUGUAGAUUUUCUAUGACAAAAAUACAUUAUUUCCACCACUACAGUGGAAAGCCCUAUUUUAUACAAAGAACUGUGGACAGAAAAAGUCACUAGGGCCGUAUUUAUGACUGCCCAGCCACAGUCUAAUGGAGGCAGACACAGUGCUUUAUCAUGUUGAAUGAGUAAUUUCUUGUCCUCCUUUUGAUACUAUCUUUCUGAUGGUCCAAACCUGGAUGGAGAGUAAGGUGAUGAAAAGGCCUCCAUUUUUCCUGAUCCACUGGUAUGUGAAUAGCUACCAGCCCCGAAGAAAAGAGGGUUUGGGAGAAGACGUAUAAUAGAAUUUGGAUUAUUUUUUCUUGCUCUGGCUUCAUCUGCAUCCUUAACUGAUGAAAAUAUUUAUUUCUAUUUAUUUAUUUUUUUUGAGACAUAGUCUCGCUCUAUCACCAGGCUGGAGUGCAGUGGCGCCAUCUUGGCUUACUGCAACUUCCGUUUUCCGGUUUCAAGCAAUUCUCCUGCCUCAGCCUCCCGAGUAGCUGGGACAACAGGCACUCACCACCACGCCCAGCUAAAUUUUUGUAUUUUUAGUAGAGACAGGGUUUCAUCAAGGUGGCCAGGAUGAUCUUGAUCUCUUGACCUCAUGAUCCACCUGCCUCGGCCUCCCAAAGUGCUGGGAUUACAGGUGUGAGCCACCACACCCAGCCAUUUAUUUCUAUUAUUUGUCCCCAUUUACCUUGCCAGGAAGAGUUGUUGAGAAAUAGCAUGAGCUACACUGUGAGGCUCCGAAGGCUCACCUGUUCCUGGCAUGGCAUUCCUAUUCCCAAGGUGCUCUCCUGGGUCUCUGACAGUCUGCUCCCUGCUAAUUGGUGCAGAUGGGAGUAGGAGGAUGAGCAGAGUACACGAGGGAAGAAGCAGAUUCUCCCAACGACGAAGCAGAGUCUCAGAGACAUUAAACAAUUUGCCCAACUUGAAGCAACUAGCAGGAGGCUUAGUCAGGAUGAGGCUGCAGGUCUCUCUGUCUCCAAGGAAAGUUUCCCAGGCAUUGACUCCACUGCCUGAAGAGUUGUGAAUAAAGAGGGGGAUGAGCAAGAAGAGGCAGAGGAAGCCUCCUAGCCAUGGUGCAGGCAUGACUCCAGGGAGAAACAGAGGGAGGCACGAUGAUCCAAGAGAAGGAGCCUCAGACUGCCUCUCUGAGAGUCCAGAUCAGACUGACGGGGAUUCCCAGAGCAGAGAGUAUCCAUCAGAGAAGUCCACCACAUUGGGCAGUAAUGGUCAAGCUCCAGCCAAUAAAAGCAAUAACACUUAACUUCUUGGUGACCUCCUCCUUCCACUCCCCCCAAAAAGUUUCUUUAAAUUUUUUGUUUUCAUCUCUGUGGUUUUAGUGCUUAGAAACAUU